Transfer RNA from Pelodiscus sinensis (Chinese soft-shelled turtle), 106 nucleotides. It matches the Rfam family "tRNA". Rfam says of the family: Transfer RNA (tRNA) molecules are approximately 80 nucleotides in length. Their secondary structure includes four short double-helical elements and three loops (D, anti-codon, and T loops). Further hydrogen bonds mediate the characteristic L-shaped molecular structure. tRNAs have two regions of fundamental functional importance: the anti-codon, which is responsible for specific mRNA codon recognition, and the 3' end, to which the tRNAs corresponding amino acid is attached (by aminoacyl-tRNA synthetases). tRNAs cope with the degeneracy of the genetic code in two manners: having more than one tRNA (with a specific anti-codon) for a particular amino acid; and 'wobble' base-pairing, i.e. permitting non-standard base-pairing at the 3rd anti-codon position. Lineage: Eukaryota; Metazoa; Chordata; Testudines; Trionychidae. The record is from Rfam.
GGCUCUGUGGUGCAAUGGAAAGUGUGUUGGCUUUCUAAGCUGUGGUGUUUAAGUGUGCACCAGGUCAAUCAUUCAAAGGUUGUUGGUUAAAAUCCCACCAGAGUCA